UGGAGUAGCAUGAAGCUGCAGCGUCGGAGACGACACUUGUAGAACCACACACACAGGUCCCGCGUCACGAGCACACACACAGGUCCCGCGUCACGGCGGCACGUGACGGAGCACGUUCACAUGAAUGUGAACGUCAACGCAGAGAAUAUGCAUAUUACAAUCCGAGAGGGGAGAUCCUUGCCGGACCUUCAACGGUGCACGACGUGUUGCAAUGACUUCCACUGCCCGUUCUGUGUCUCUCGUUUAUUCUCUCCAACAAAACACUGCAAGGUGAAAAGCCAUCUCGAGAGCCACUUCCAGCGUGCAGUUCUCCAUGAAGGUAAAGUUAGCUUACAUUCUCUUGUGAAAUGCAAAUGGAGUUGCAAUGUGUCUGCAUUAAAAGCAGCCUAAAUGUUAUGAUCAGUUCCAUUUGA
Long non-coding RNA from Gymnodraco acuticeps, 413 nucleotides. RefSeq lists it as uncharacterized. The transcript is spliced from 2 exons. The record is from RefSeq and is a predicted model, not a curated record. Lineage: Eukaryota; Metazoa; Chordata; Actinopteri; Perciformes; Bathydraconidae.